GACGAACGCUGGCGGCGUGCUUAACACAUGCAAGUCGAACGGAAAGGCCCUGCUUUUGUGGGGUGCUCGAGUGGCGAACGGGUGAGUAACACGUGAGUAACCUGCCCUUGACCUUGGGAUAACUUCAGGAAACUGGGGCUAAUACCGGAUAGGAUCUCCUGCUGCAUGGUGGGGGUUGGAAAGUUUCGGCGGUUGGGGAUGGACUCGCGGCUUAUCAGCUUGUUGGUGGGGUAGUGGCUUACCAAGGCUUUGACGGGUAGCCGGCCUGAGAGGGUGACCGGCGACAUUGGGACUGAGAUACGGCCCAGAAUCCUACGGGAGGCAGCAGUGGGGAAUAUUGCACAAUGGGGGGAAGCCUGAUGCAGCAACGCCGCGUGCGGGAUGACGGCCUUCGGGUUGUAAACCGCUUUCGCCUGUGACGAAGCGUGAGUGACGGUAAUGGGUAAAGAAGCACCGGCUAACUACGUG
This 468-nucleotide ribosomal RNA is filed under the name uncultured bacterium. Its description in RNAcentral is "partial 16S ribosomal RNA". It matches the Rfam family "Bacterial small subunit ribosomal RNA", at positions 28 to 507 of the family's 1533-position model. The record is from RNAcentral.